This 279-nucleotide ribosomal RNA is filed under the name uncultured bacterium. RNAcentral describes it as "partial 16S ribosomal RNA". It matches the Rfam family "Bacterial small subunit ribosomal RNA", at positions 506 to 784 of the family's 1533-position model. The record is from RNAcentral.
UGCCAGCAGCCGCGGUAACACGGGGGGCGCAAGCGUUAUUCGGAAUUAUUGGGCGUAAAGGGCGCGCAGGCGGUCUUGUCCGUCAGGUGUGAAAGCCCAGAGCUCAACUCUGGAACUGCGCCUGAAACUAUUUGUCUAGAGUCCGAGAGAGGUUAGUGGAAUUCCCAGUGUAGAGGUGAAAUUCGUAGAUAUUGGGAAGAACACCAGUGGCGAAGGCGGCUAACCGGCUCGGUACUGACGCUGAGAUGCGAAAGCGUGGGGAGCAAACAGGAUUAGAUA